Molecule: transfer RNA, 86 nt
Filed under: Opitutaceae bacterium
Lineage: Bacteria; Pseudomonadati; Verrucomicrobiota; Opitutia; Opitutales; Opitutaceae
Also listed under: 3 other names
Description: tRNA-Tyr
Rfam family: tRNA
About the family: Transfer RNA (tRNA) molecules are approximately 80 nucleotides in length. Their secondary structure includes four short double-helical elements and three loops (D, anti-codon, and T loops).
Source: RNAcentral
GGUGGGAUACCCAAGUGGCCAACGGGGGCAGACUGUAAAUCUGCUGGGGCAACCCUUCGGUGGUUCGAAUCCGCCUCCCACCACCA